GCACAACGCGAAGAACCUUACCUAGGCUUGAACUCCUACGAACCUGUUGUAAUGGACGGGGUGCCCGCAAGGGAAUGUAGUGAGAGGUGCUGCAUGGCUGUCGUCAGCUCGUGUUGUGAAAUGUUGGGUUAAGUCUCGCAACGAGCGCAACCCCUAUCGUCUGUUGCCAGCAUUUAGUUAGGCACUCUGACGAGACUGCCUGGGUUAACCAGGAGGAAGGUGGGGAUGACGUCAAGUCCUCAUGGCCCUUAUGUCUAGGGCUACACACGUAAUACAAUGGCGCGUACAAUGGGAAGCGAACUAGUGAUAGGGAGCAAAUCUCAAAAAGCGCGCCUCAGUUCGGAUUGGAGUCUGCAACUCGACUCCAUGAAGUUGGAAUCGCUAGUAAUCGGAGAUCAGCACGCUCCGGUGAAUACGUUCCCGGGUCUUGUACACACCG
Molecule: ribosomal RNA, 439 nt
Filed under: uncultured bacterium
Lineage: Bacteria
Description: bacterial SSU rRNA
Rfam family: Bacterial small subunit ribosomal RNA
Source: RNAcentral